UUUUUUUUUUUUUUUUUUUAAUCUCCCGUUCCAAGUGAGUGGAGUGGAUUGUUCUAGGAAGCAUUGAAAUCAUGUACUGCCCAAAUUCUAACGGGGACUAUUUUCUAAAAUAUUUGCUAAUUGUUUUGCUGGGUAUCCCAUUUUGCCAACGCUAUUAUUGUAUUAUUCCCUUGUUGUAUGACAUUUUUUUGCCUUUGUUAUCUCAUUAUAAAUUAAUGAUUAGAAUUAUCUAGAACUGAGAAGCUAUAGCUUUUUGUAAAAUUAUUGUAUGAAUGUACGUGAAUUAGAUUAUAUUUUGAAUGCUGAGAAUUUUCCGGUUAUUAAAUAUUCAAAUUUUCUUCUUCUUGGAAUGAGAAUCUUCAGAUUCUAGCAUAAUCAUUUUAUAGAGGGAGUGAAUCUUAUAUAUCUAUCUAUUUUGGUAGAUUAUGUUGGCAAUAUUCUCUUUCUGCAGAAUUAGAUUAGUAGCUGUUGCUACUCAGAAGUUCGUUGCAGAGGUUGCGGGCGAUGCACUGCAGUAUGUUUUUAUUUUCCUUAUCUGUUCACUCGCUUUAACAAGCAUUAUGAUUUGGUGGUAAUACAUCGUCAUCGCUGACAUCAUGUAGUGGGUUCAAAUCAAGGGCUUUUAUUUUAGUAUUGAAUAUAUGCAAAAUUGUUAAGAGUUAUCUGAAGUUUCGAAGAGGUUUAGGGGCAGCAGCUGAUAAACAUGGUGAAACAUACAUUUAUAUCUUUAAAUACAAGAUUAUUAACAAUUUUUAUGUUUUUUCAAGGGAAAUGUGGAAUAAAUGAUGUUCUAGCAUGUUAUGGUCCUUGACUUGACCCAAGUGGUUAGAUUUAAUGUGCGGCAAUUGAGUUCAGGGGUUGUUGCAACCUGCAACCUGUAUUAUGCUCUGAACAAAAGCAUGUUACUCAAAUGGGCUCAUUUCUGUACUCAUAUUAUGUCCAAGGGGCAUCAAUUCCAGAUUUUCAGCCUCCUUAAUUAGUGAUAUUACAUUAGUUUUUCAGUGCCUAAGUCAUAGUGAUAGAGAAUGAUCUCUCUCAUGCAUCCUCUUGUAGGCAAUGCAGGGCUCGUCAAUCAGCAGUAGUCAAAGACAAAAGAGAGAAGCAGCAAAAGGUGGUAAAAUGGUCCUAUAACAAUCUUAUGUUUUUGCGAGGCAAUAUUAUUUAGCCAGUCUUAACAUUUUGUAUGAACAGGAAAAGCGCCCAAUCUUGACCAUGGAGGACCUGUCCAAGGCUCUGCGUGAUGUAAGCACUAAAACAUUUUCUCAUUUAUGUUUGGAGAGACCAUGUUGUGUGCUGUUCCUGACUGUAAUAUCUCAUUUUAGCUAGAGGAUUAAAUGUGGAAUGGUGAUGAUUAUUAAUUUGUGUGAUAGCUGAGCAACUACUAAGUGUAGCUCAUUCUGCUGUAUAUAUUGAUUUCAUUAUUAUAAUUGGGCAUGAUUUUGGGUCAAAAUGAGAUAGUAUUUUAAUAAUGUAAGUUGAGAUUGUUUUAAGUGCAUAUAAAUAUACUAGCAGCUUGAUUGAGGGAUAGAAAUGGCUUCACUAUCCUGAGUAAAUGCAAUUGUAAGUUGACACUUAAUUUAUCUCCCUACAAUACUUGUUUUUCUAAUAUUUAACUGUGAUUCUUUUCACUACUGAAUGAGCAGUACGGCGUGAAUGUGAAGCACCAGGAGUAUUUUGCUGAUAGCCCAUCAACCGGAAUGGAUCCUGCUUCAAGAGAUGAGUAACCUGGCUUGGAUUUACAAGUUUUUUGCAUUUGUUUACAUGUCAAGUCGUUAUACAUUCUUGUUUGUACAACACAUCGCCUUUCUGUAGUCUGAUAGUUUUCAUUUAAAGAUUUAUUAUGAUAUAUAUUUGAUGUCUAGCUAUUAUAUGUUGAUGUUCUGACACUUAACAGAACAGUUGGUAAGGUUUUAACUGCUCCUAUUGCUAUGGCAUGAUAAAAGACUUUAUUAUCAUUAAAGGAGCCGAGCCUGUCCAACCUGGAACAACAUGAUAAGAUUACAUUUCUCUUUCUUAUCAUUUCUCUUGAAUGAGAAUAUUUUACUCAUCCUUCAAUGUCUCCUAUAAUUCAAAAGAAAUGAAAUUAAGAUGUAAUUAUUGUUUAAUUAAGGUUGCUUUAAAUGUAAUAAAAGCCAUCGUGGAAUACAUACCUUCCUAGUCUUUCAUAAUUUUUACUAAUCAUCAAAUUUGUAACUUAACCAUUUG
This 2205-nucleotide unclassified non-coding RNA is filed under the name Hevea brasiliensis (rubber tree). The record is from RNAcentral. Lineage: Eukaryota; Viridiplantae; Streptophyta; Magnoliopsida; Malpighiales; Euphorbiaceae.